Molecule: non-coding RNA, 1501 nt
Organism: Drosophila virilis
Lineage: Eukaryota; Metazoa; Arthropoda; Insecta; Diptera; Drosophilidae
Source: RefSeq, a predicted model, not a curated record
AGUAGUUUGAUGUAAAUAAGAUUUUUUUCAAUUUAUUUAAACUUAAGAUAUUUUUUGAUAUUAAUAAGUAAUGGUAAUAAGUAACUAUUUUCUCUAUUUUGAUCCUCUGAAACCAUUGCCAAUUUAUAAAAAGGGUUUUAGGGGGUCUUUUACUAAAGUUCAGAAAAUAUCUAGUCGAGCACCUCCGAUAAAUGCACUCUGACACCUCUUAAUGUUUGACCGUGCAUUCCCAUGACAGCUAAUGAUACAGGGGCCCGAUCCAGCCAGUUCUGACAUAUGUACUGUAUGCAACAAAAAGAGCCACUAAUGCAGAGUUUUAUGAAGAUAGCUUUAAAACUGAGAUAUAAGUUCGCAUGGAAACUUCGCAUAUUGUUUGACAAAUUAUAUUAUUUUAUAUAAUUAAACAAACAAAAAUUGUGGUGUUAUUAAAAGGCGGCUUAUGUGGUUAAGUGCGUAUCGCUUUGAUAUAAUUUGGCAACUAACUCUUAACCCUACAUUACGCUAACACUGCGAAGCGAGGAGAAUUCUCUCCCAGAGCGAGUGAUGAAGCUUAUUGCGCUCUCGCUCCGCCCUAAACCUAACUUACACUAGACUUCAUGUUUUAAAUUCAUUUUAUAAAGCAAUGCGCGAAUCUGCACCAGCACCGGCCACCAUGAAGCGAUUGGGAGCUUCACUCCACAGGCAGCCGAGCCAACUUGUGGAUGCUCUUUUAAAUUGUCCGCCAUUAGUCUUCCUGAUAUCUGCCACUUUAACGACGCUGUCCUCUCCUGCGUGCACUGCCGAUAAUCUGCCGAUGAGCCACUUAUGGGGAUGCAGAUUGUCCUCGGCGACGACCUUCAGCUCUCCAACGAUGACGUUUGGCAGGCGAUGGUGCCUCUUGCUCUGUACUUGGAGACUGAGCACAUACUAUUUGACCAUCGCCGUAAAAACUGUUGCUUCAACGAGACAGCUUGCCAUGCAAAAAUGAAGAGAGCAAAGUAAGAUCACUAAAUACGGUGCGUAAUCAAAAUAUCUUGAAUGACAAACAAGUUGUCCAUACAACUUAAUAUUCGUCCGAUAUAUAGCUUCAAAAGCUUUUCUAAAGUAACUUUCAAGACGAACAGACGUACCAGCUAAGCAGAAUAAAAGAUAAUUGGUGUCUAGAAAUGAUUUUAAUCCGUGUCCGGAAAAUUCACGAGUCACAAUAAGACCAUGGAAAAACAUUAAUAUACAGUGCCAGUCCUUCCACAGACCUGGCACUAACCACAUUGUUCAUUUGAGUGCCUAGCGGAGUAUCUGCAGGAGUGAGGUCCAGCAACAACUGAGUGGCAACUAAAAUUACCAUGGACCACUAAGUAUACGGGUCCAGCAAGUCAACUACAUAAUAAGAACCCACGAAUUCAAUUGUCCACCUAACAAACCCACGCUUGCCACCGAAAAUGGUCUAAUGACCCAGAAACGAAUAAUAAUUAACCGUACUAAAUAAAUAAAAGUGGGCUACAAAUGCCUUAAAUGCUUAAAA